Molecule: ribosomal RNA, 534 nt
Filed under: uncultured bacterium
Lineage: Bacteria
Description: bacterial SSU rRNA
Rfam family: Bacterial small subunit ribosomal RNA
Source: RNAcentral
UGGCCUUGACAUACUAAGAACUUUCCAGAGAUGGAUUGGUGCCUUCGGGAACUUAGAUACAGGUGCUGCAUGGCUGUCGUCAGCUCGUGUCGUGAGAUGUUGGGUUAACGUCCGCAACGAGCGCAACCCUUUUCCUUAUUUGCCAGCGGGUCAUGCCGGGAACUUUAAGGAUACUGCCAGUGACAAACUGGAGGAAGGCGGGGACGACGUCAAGUCAUCAUGGCCCUUACGGCCAGGGCUACACACGUGCUACAAUGGUCGGUACAAAGGGUUGCUACCUCGCGAGAGGAUGCUAAUCUCAAAAAGCCGACCGUAGUCCGGAUCGCAGUCUGCAACUCGACUGCGUGAAGUCGGAAUCGCUAGUAAUCGCGGAUCAGAAUGCCGCGGUGAAUACGUUCCCGGGCCUUGUACACACCGCCCGUCACACCAUGGGAGUUUGUUGCACCAGAAGUAGGUAGUCUAACCGCAAGGAGGACGCUUACCACGGUGUGGCCGAUGACUGGGGUGAAGUCGUAACAAGGUAAGCGUAGAUGA